GGGGAUGACCGGUUUUGACAGCAAGGAAGUGGUAUUGUAAGCAUGCCGGGCGUUGUAGGAGUGGCCCGUUAAUCCCAACCUGCACAGCCAACAAAUGGCAACGAUUACAAUUACGCGUUAGCCGCUUAAUCAAGGAUUAAGCCGCUUUCUGCUCCCCGGGAAGCCACGCGCGGCCGCGUUCCGGUACGGGCAUCACAAAUGCCGCGAUAAGACAGGUAAGGCCCUGGUGCCUGUUCGAAAACCAAAAGGAAUACGGAACCUGUUGGGCGGUUUUCUCCCUGCAGGCUCCCGACAAUCAACUGAAAACUAAGCUUGUAGAAAGCACUAUUGCUGCUUGUUUGGACGCGGGUUCGACUCCCGCCAUCUCCACGA
RNAcentral lists this transfer-messenger RNA (372 nucleotides) under Lentimicrobiaceae. Its description in RNAcentral is "Lentimicrobium sp016705005 Standard tmRNA". It matches the Rfam family "transfer-messenger RNA". From Rfam's summary of the family: Bacterial tmRNA, also known as 10Sa RNA or SsrA, is named for its dual tRNA and mRNA-like properties. Its role is to liberate the mRNA from a stalled ribosome. RNAcentral also lists the same sequence under 1 other name. Lineage: Bacteria; Pseudomonadati; Bacteroidota; Bacteroidia; Bacteroidales. The record is from RNAcentral.